Beta vulgaris subsp. vulgaris (sugar beet) is the source of this 2645-nucleotide RNA transcript. It is a transcript of the gene named DExH-box ATP-dependent RNA helicase DExH16, mitochondrial, with no coding region annotated. NCBI's taxonomy places the organism in Eukaryota, Viridiplantae, Streptophyta, Magnoliopsida, Caryophyllales, Amaranthaceae. The transcript has 16 exons. The record is from RefSeq and is a predicted model, not a curated record.
GAUUCUUUUUAUUGCUCAUUAGUUAUACUAUCAAGCAAUUAAUACUCCCGUACAUCAUACACGAAUCCUAAAACUAGUAAAAAUAAAUAAAAACGCUUAUUUAAAUCCAUUUCCUACCUCAAAAUUUUCAUACCAAACCCCCUCUAAACAAACAAACAAUUAACUUGAGAGCGCGGACAAACAAUUUCCCUGUCAAAAAGAAAAAAAAACUCGGAGAAACAAAGGAAAAAGUUGUUAGAAAAUGGCGUCUGCACUUCUUCGCCGGCGAUUCUCGUCUUUCACCGUAUCUCGGUAUCUCCACGAUAAAUCUGAGAGUUCCUCCUUGGAGUUGAGGCUUGGACUGUUGGCUAGUCAUUGUGGUUGCUUGAGGCAGUUCAGCAGCCGUGCUACUUCAUCUAGAUUUGAUUUUACUGAUUUGACGUGUCCUCAUACUUGGUAUCCAAAUGCGCGAAAGCAGCAGCGAAAUGUUUUUCUUCAUGUGGGGCCCACAAACAGUGGUAAAACAUACCAGGCGCUGAAGCAGUUGGAAUGUAGCUCAACAGGUGUAUAUUGUGGACCUUUAAGAUUAUUGGCUUGGGAAGUAGCAAAACGUCUGAAUAAAGCGAAUGUUCCUUGUGAUCUAAUAACUGGACAAGAACGAGAGGAAGUUGAAGGUGCAAAACACAUGGCUGUGACGGUUGAGAUGGCUGAUGUGACUUCUCAUUACCAGUGUGCUGUGAUUGACGAGAUUCAGAUGCUGGGUUGCAGGAGCAGGGGCUUUUCCUUUACUCGUGCUUUAUUGGGACUUCCUGCAGAUGAACUUCACUUAUGUGGAGACCCGGCUGCUGUGCCCCUUAUCACGGAAAUAUUGAAAGUUACUGGUGAUAAUGUGCAGAUACAUUAUUAUGAUAGGUUAUCACCUCUGGAGCCAUUGAAGGUUUCUCUUGGAUCUUUUUCAAAUGUAAGAAAGGGAGACUGCGUUGUUACCUUUUCACGUCGGGGCAUAUAUAACUUUAAAAGAAAAAUUGAAAGUGAGGGGAAACAUCUUUGCUCUGUUGUGUAUGGUUCACUGCCCCCAGAAACCCGAAAUAGACAGGCGACUAUGUUCAAUGAUGCUACCAGCGAGUCUGAUGUGCUUGUGGCUAGUGAUGCAAUUGGAAUGGGUCUUAAUUUAAAUAUAUCUAGAAUCAUAUUUUCAACACUAAAAAAGUUUGACGGUGUGGAGCUACGUGAUCUGACCGUGCCAGAGAUCAAGCAGAUAGCAGGGAGAGCUGGUAGAUAUGGGUCUAAGUACCCUGUUGGUGAAGUGACUUGUCUAGAAGGGGAGGAUCUACCACUACUGCACACAUCACUUAACUCUCCAUCUCCACCCCUAGAGCGUGCUGGUCUGUUUCCAAACUAUGAUCUUCUGCUCUUGUAUUCUAGAGCAAAUCCAGAAAUUGGAUUAUACCAUAUUUUGGAACACUUUGUAACCAAUGCUAAGUUAUCUCCAAAUUACUUCAUUGCCGAUUGUGAAGAUUUGCUGAAAGUAGCCGCCAUUAUUGAUGAGCUGCCACUUGGUUUGCAUGAGAAAUACCUCUUCUGUAUCAGUUGGCUUCCGGUACACCUCACGAGGUCCCACUUAGCAAGUGGGCAUUCUUACUACCGGGAUGCACUUGACCAUCAGACGGACAUGCAGGUACAUAUGGUCUCAUAUGCCUAAUAUAUAAACAUUGGUAGAUAUCUCUCACAUGCCUAAUAUUUGUAAGAUUCUUUCUUUGUAGAUGACUUGGUAACCAUAUACUAAUGAUGCUGGAGUUGUUACCUGCUAUAUGUCGAGCUGAUCGACAUGUAUGGCGCAUAUUGGCUUCACUUAUUUGUUUCAACAUUGUGGAGUUUCAUUUUCCUGAUCGAGUUAUGCGCCAAUUUGGAUUCGAGCAGAUGAUUCCAGCACCUUGUGAUACGAGCACAAUAGUUCAUGGCAUAGAUCGGAGGUCGAAGAAUAAGAAUUAUCCCCUAAGACAUCGACCUUACAUAGCAAAGUGGGAUGAGCGUGAGAGACGUGUUGUUCAGGAUACUAAGUUUAGUGGUCGUACUCAUGCCAUUGAGGAGUAUAUGAUAUGAUAUCGUCGCAUCACGAGGUUACACAUUACGGAUCCAUUGAGGCGACCUCCUUCUACACAUUAUCAGCAUGCGUCUGCAGAUAUAAUACUGGUGCAGCACUGUACUAGAGGCUAGAGGCUGCUGAGUCAUUGCCUCCAGAUAUGGGGCGCCAGUUGUUUGCAUAGACAUUGCAGACCAUGAGGGGACUGUGUUGAUGUUGUUGGCCGAGCUGGACAUGGGCACAUCUUACAGAGCGUGCCUACUUCUGCUGCACAUACAUCGACUUCUACAUCUUCUAUGUCUGCUGCUCAUACAUCUACCACGACACCUAGCUUUCGCUUCCAGUCUGUCAAAGGACCUACCGAUGACAUUCUGCAACCACUCCAUCUUCUUUUGAUGCCAUUGCAGAGUUUAUUGAGACCACAUCUAGUUCAUCUAGACCUUCACAGAAAAAGAAGAGGGGCUCUUAGCACUACAUUUAUUUCCAGUUGAUGUAGAUGACGAUAUUUCAUCACAGGGACUUGUACAGUUUGCACAAACAUAUGCUAAGAAAGGUAUUGUUCAUCUACGGGAGAUCUUUACGC